RNAcentral lists this ribosomal RNA (497 nucleotides) under uncultured bacterium. RNAcentral describes it as "partial 16S ribosomal RNA". It matches the Rfam family "Bacterial small subunit ribosomal RNA", at positions 28 to 507 of the family's 1533-position model. The record is from RNAcentral.
GAUGAACGCUGGCGGCGUGCCUAAUACAUGCAAGUCGAGCGAACAGAUGAGGGGCUUGCUCCUCUGACGUUAGCGGCGGACGGGCGAGUAACACGUGGAUAACCUACCUAUAAGACUGGGAUAACUUCGGGAAACCGGAGCUAAUACCGGAUAAUAUAUUGAACCGCAUGGUUCAAUAGUGAAAGACGGUUUUGCUGUCACUUAUAGAUGGAUCCGCGCCGCAUUAGCUAGUUGGUAAGGUAACGGCUUACCAAGGCAACGAUGCGUAGACGACCUGAGAGGGUGAUCGGCCACACGGGAACUGAGACACGGUCAAGACUCCUACGGGAGGCAGCAGUAGGGAAUCUUACGCAAUGGGCGAAAGCAUGACGGAGCAACGCCGCGUGAGUGAUGAAGGUCUUCGGAUCGUAAAACUCUGUUAUGAGGGAAGAACAAAUGUGUAAGGAAAUAUGCACGUCUUGACGGUACCUAAUCAGAAAGCCACGGCUAACUACGUG